Molecule: non-coding RNA, 29 nt
Filed under: Mus musculus (house mouse)
Lineage: Eukaryota; Metazoa; Chordata; Mammalia; Rodentia; Muridae
Source: RNAcentral
UAACUAGGAUGGACAAACGAUUGCAGGGU